This is a long non-coding RNA of Monodelphis domestica (gray short-tailed opossum), 2472 nucleotides long. NCBI's taxonomy places the organism in Eukaryota, Metazoa, Chordata, Mammalia, Didelphimorphia, Didelphidae. The record is from Ensembl.
AGCUCCUCCUCCUACUCCCACCAUGUAAUUUCCAUAACACUACAAAAGCCUGUGCAAUCCCAGGACUAGCUGUCCUCAGACUGGGAGGAUUCUGCCAUCUGUAGAAAUCUCCUUGCCACAGGUUAUCUUCUUUACAGCAGGUGAAAAUGAGGCAGGUGGAGAAUUCCCUCAACCUUUUAGAGACUGGCUCACAGCCUCAAGAAGCACAGAGAUGUUCCAAGAAGCCACUGUUCAUCUUGAUGGCUUUUAUGCUGCUAUUAAUAUCUGUUGGUGGUAUCCUAAUGUGUCAUUUUUCCCAUUCCAAGGCUCCAGAGAGUUGUUGGGCUCAAGCAAAUUUAGACUACAAGAGUCAAACAUAUGGGAAAGUGGGCUGGGUGUGGACAACAAAAUUCCAUUCUUGCAUGGAGGAAACUGAGCAUCAGACACUGAGGAUCAGAGAAAAUGGCAUCUAUUUAUUUUACGUCCACAUCACAAGAAAAAGUUUGGACAACCAAGAGGAGAGCUCUCACUUUGCAGUGCAACUAAAGAAAGGAGACGUUGUUUUAAAUCAGAGUGAAUCCAAUGGGACUGUUCUCUACCUCAUGGGAAUCCAUGACUUGAAUAAGGGGGAUGAGAUAACUUUAACGUUGAAUGAUGGUGACAUGAAGUCUAUUGAAAAAGAACCUUUUGAGACUUAUUGGGGGGUUUUGCGUAUGAUGACUUUCACCUCAUAGGAUGCUGAUUCUCACUUACUCCACAGUCCAGAAACUCAGUGGAUUUCAGUGCUAAUGGUUUGCCUGUGUGUGUAAAUCAACACAAACAGGUCUUAUGCAGGGUAAUGAUAUUCUUCCCCUUUCUCCUUUUGAAAUACUGGUGUUGUGGCCCCAGAAGACACAGAUCUGAGAGGGAACUUCCUUGCAAGCAGAAAAAAGAAUAGAUACUCUGUUGUAAUAUAGAUGGCUGGAUAAAGGGGACUCCUUGAGGAGUCUCAAUAUGAGUUUUAGUUUUUUAAGAUUUCCUCAAGUUUGACAUAAGAAGUCCAUAUCCUAAUUGGCUUGACUUUCUGAAGAUCUAAGGAGGCAGCCUGAGCUUCCUGACCCUAUUCCGAUGCUUUUAGUAUCACCCCCUCCCUGCUUAAUUCCAUUUUGUGACCCCAAUCUGCUCUCAUAAACAGUGGCAAUGCUAGUCUGGAAGGCUGCCCAGACAAGCUGCCAAAGCACAUGUUACCUAAGCAGUGGCCCAGAAGACUAGAAUUUGCUGUUCACAUGUUGACCAUGGUGGAAGCCUUUGGGACAGAAAUGCAAAUGCCCCUGACAGACUGACCCAGCUGCACUUUAUAUAUAUAUAUAUAUAUAUAUAUAUAUAUAUAUAUAUAUAUAUAUAUAUAUAUAUAUAUAGGAAGUUAAUGACUUUUGGCUUCCUCAUACUACUCAGGGCACAUAGCUUUAAAGGAAAUCAUGGGGUGGAGGGACAGUUCCUGAAUGUCACCUUGGGUUCUCUCAUCAUACUACAGCUGGAAGAAAUGUGAAUGGCCAAAGUGAUGGGAACUGUCUCUGUCCUUUCCCCCGCUGUCCCUCUCUAGGCUUCUCAGAGUCUUUGACUGAGCACAUGAGAAGUAUCUUCAUCUCCUUAUGGGGAACAACUAGGCCAUUUAAGAGAUACUCCCCUUUUCUUUGAUGAAGUUACAAUUCUCUGUCUUUUUCCUGUGAGCAUCCCCUGUACCUUUAGUCCCAACAAGUUGCCUUGUUUAUCACUUGUGCCUAAGGAUAGGGAAUUCCCUCCCCUAGUUCAAGGCAAGGACUUUGGUGACAUUCUAGGAAGCUUUGCCCUUGUUCCUUUCACUCUGCUCUGACAGAACCAGAGACAAAUAUGAAGCUUUUGUCAUUGCCGAGUCUACAGUGAUUAAAAAGCUAUGUUCUAAAACAAUUUGUACACGCACACUACACAUGUAUAUACACAUAUAUUUUUUUAUAUAUUUAUAUUACUCAGACAGUUAAGGAGAUGGAUUGCACUAGACAGUUGUCCCAAGUACAAAUGCGGAGGAUCUUUUCCUUUCACCCAUACAAUGGAGAGAGCUUGGGUCCAAAGCUUGGGCACUGUGUGAUUAUUUCCUAUAUCUGAAAAAUUCCUCAGGAAAUUUUGAUUGUUCAAUUUGUAUAUUUAUGAAAUUGUUGUGAUGUUUACUAUUUUUGUGUUUGUUAAACUCUGCUUUCCAUAUAUAAAUUAAUCCCUCUCUGACACUCCCUGCCCCCUCCAGGAUGGGUGCAUUGGCCUCUUGAGGCCUCUAUCCUGGGUCAGUCAGUGAGUAGGGAGGUGGCUACUGGUAGUUGAAAUACACAUCUUCUUCUCCCACUAAACCUAUUGAUAAAUAUGGAAGGUGACUAAGGCUUUCUGGUCCAUUCAUUCUGCUUUUUGACAUGUGCUGUGAUCCAUUCUUUUCAAGAUCAACCGAAUGCUCUGUAAAUCUCUAAUAAAGCACAUAUUGGCCAUUCA